RNAcentral lists this ribosomal RNA (1998 nucleotides) under Triticum aestivum (bread wheat). RNAcentral describes it as "partial small subunit ribosomal RNA". Lineage: Eukaryota; Viridiplantae; Streptophyta; Magnoliopsida; Poales; Poaceae. The record is from RNAcentral.
GCUAUGUAUGCCUUCACACCCUCUUCCUACGGUCAUCACUGCUCUAAAAAGGACAAACAAACAAACAAAGCCCACACGCCAAGCCUAUUAUGAAGGAAAUUAAGACCAACACAGAGGGAGAUAAAACGGGCCAAAUCUGCUACAGGUGAUGUCAGCCGACUGAGACUUCACUUAGACCUAGAUAGACCCUCUUAUUCUUGUGUUUUUUCUAUUCCCGCCUUUCUAAGAUUCAACGAUCAAACGUCCCCCAAGCCCGGUCAUAUAAUUUGCGAAUGCGAUGGUUCUGCUGUUAAGCCUGCUGCGGGUGGUCUGUGUCGAGAUUUCCGCAGGCUACAGCUUGUGUGUGUGGAUCCUUAACACAAUGCACGAAGUUGCACACACGCAUCCGCACAGGAACUGGAGUGAGUCGUGAAACUUGAAGACGGUGAAAGUCACUAGAGCUGCUUCACUAUCAUCGUGUACAUCGUCAAAAACCGAAUUCCGUGACAUUUCCUCGUGGCCGGUCACGUGGUUGACGUGCAACGCCACCGCCCAGACGUGUACAUCGAACAGUUCGCGACAGCGAUCGGCCAUGCCUCGGACUCCACAGCCCAUGCACAUUAUCCGAACUGAGCCGAGUGCAGGAGCAGCCAGGGGAGGAUGGAAGCGGGGAGCACGAGCCAAGAACGCGAGCGCCCGCGCGCCUCGCCGCCGGCGCUGCCGUGCGCGGUGCGGCUGCAGGUCACCGCGUUCUCGCCCCUCAUCGACGUCAUCAACCGCCGCGACGGCACCGUCAACCGCGGCCUCUACUCCGUCGCCGACCGCGUCCUCCGCGUGCGCGCGAGCCCCCGCCCGGACUCCUCCGGCGUCCGCUCUGCCGACUUCGACGUCGACGCGUCGCGCGGCCUCCUGGCGCGCGUCUUCUCCUUCUCCUCCCCCGCCGCGCCCCGGGCCCCGCUCCCGGUCGUCGUCUACUUCCACGGCAGCGGCUUCGCGAUGUUCUCCGCGCGCCAGUGCUACUUCGACCGCCUGUGCCGCCGCAUCUGCCGCGGCGUCGGCGCGGUCGUCGUCUCCGUCGAGUACCGCCUCGCCCCCGAGCACCCCUACCCGGCCGCCUACGACGACGCCGUGGACACGCUCCGCUUCAUCGACGCCAACGGCGUCCCGGGGUUGGACGAGGGCGUCCGCGUGGACCUCUCCAGCUGCUUCCUCGCCGGGUAGAGCGCCGGCGGCAACAUAAUCCACCACGCGGCCAACCGCUGGGCCGCGGCCGCGCCCACCCCCAGCUCCGUGCGCCUCGCCGGCCUCAUCUCCGUGCAGCCCUACUUCGGCGGCGAGGAGCGGACGGAGUCGGAGCUGAGGCUGGACGGCGUGGCGCCGAUCGUGACCCUCCGGCGGGCGGACUUCUGGUGGAGGGCGUUCCUACCGGAGGGCGCCAGCCGCGACCACCCGGCGGCGCACGUGACCGACGAGAACGCCGAGCUGGCCGAGGCGUUCCCGCCGGCGAUGGUGCUGGUCGGCGGGUUCGACCCGCUGCAGGACUGGCAGCGGCGGUACGCCGACGUGCUGCGGCGGAAGGGGAAGACCGUGGAGGUGGUGGAGUUCCCAGACGGCAUCCACGCGUUCUACCUCUUCCCGGACCUCCCCGACACCGCCAGAGCUAUCGAGCGCAUGAGGACGUUCGUGCAAAGCAACCGGACGUCGCCGUCGGCGCCAGAACCUUCUCGCGGGAACGACAUCGAUUGAAAACGGCCAUUCAAAAAUUGAUUGAAAAGAACUUGUAGUCCCCUCGACGUGUCGAAAUUUGGAAAUACGAGUAUUUCUUCAAGUCCAUUCAAUUUAGGAAUUGGGUACACAUUGGUCCAUAGAAAAUUGUGUACACAAUGAAAGAUACUCCCUCCUUUCCAGUUUAUAAGACUCAAUUCAAAAAUCUCACCAAUCAAGAUAGAUGAUGAGUGGUGAAAUAUUUUUUGUAGUUUGCAAAAGCACCCAAUUAAUGUUUUUAUUUUCCUCAAAAAA